This 397-nucleotide ribosomal RNA is filed under the name uncultured bacterium. RNAcentral's name for it is "partial 16S ribosomal RNA". It matches the Rfam family "Bacterial small subunit ribosomal RNA", at positions 523 to 918 of the family's 1533-position model. The record is from RNAcentral.
ACACAUAGGGGGCAAGCGUUGUCCGGAAUCACUGGGCGUAAAGCGCACGUAGGCGGAUUAUUAAGUCAGGUGUGAAAACUCUGGGCUCGACCCGGAGACUGCAUCUGAAACUGGUAAUCUUGAGUGUAGAAGAGGAGAGUGGAAUUCCUAGUGUAGCGGUGAAAUGCGUAGAUAUUAGAAGGAACACCAGUGGCGAAGGCGACUCUCUGGUCUAUAACUGACGCUGAGGUGCGAAAGCGUGGGGAGCAAACAGGAUUAGAUCCCCUGGUAGUCCACGCCGUAAACGAUGGGUACUUGGUGUUGGGGGUAUCGACUCCCUCAGUGCCGGAGUUAACACAUUAAGUACCCCGCCUGGGGAGUACGUUCGCAAGAAUGAAACUCAAAGGAAUUGACGGGG